Molecule: ribosomal RNA, 436 nt
Filed under: uncultured Lachnospiraceae bacterium
Lineage: Bacteria; Bacillati; Bacillota; Clostridia; Lachnospirales; Lachnospiraceae
Description: bacterial SSU rRNA
Rfam family: Bacterial small subunit ribosomal RNA
Source: RNAcentral
ACGGAAGGCAGCAGUCGGGAAUAUUGCGCAAUGGAGGAAACUCUGACGCAGUGACGCCGCGUGCAGGAAGAAGGUUUUCGGAUUGUAAACUGCUUUAGACAGGGAAGAAGAAGUGACAGUACCUGUAGAAUAAGCUCCGGCUAACUACGUGCCAGCAGCCGCGGUAAUACGUAGGGGGCAAGCGUUAUCCGGAUUUACUGGGUGUAAAGGGAGCGUAGACGGCAAAGCAAGUCUGAAGUGAAAUCCCGGGGCUCAACCCUGGAACUGCUUUGGAAACUGUUUAGCUAGAGUGCAGGAGAGGUAAGUGGAAUUCCUAGUGUAGCGGUGAAAUGCGUAGAUAUUAGGAGGAACACCAGUGGCGAAGGCGGCUUACUGGACUGUAACUGACGUUGAGGCUCGAAAGCGUGGGGAGCAAACAGGAUUAGAUACCCUGGUA